This 446-nucleotide ribosomal RNA is filed under the name uncultured bacterium. Its description in RNAcentral is "bacterial SSU rRNA". It matches the Rfam family "Bacterial small subunit ribosomal RNA", at positions 330 to 793 of the family's 1533-position model. The record is from RNAcentral.
CCCAGACUCCUACGGGAGGCAGCAGUGGGGAAUAUUGCACAAUGGGGGGAACCCUGAUGCAGCGACGCCGCGUGAGUGAAGAAGUAUCUCGGUACGUAAAGCUCUAUCAGCAGGGAAGAAAAUGACGGUACCUGACUAAGAAGCCCCGGCUAACUACGUGCCAGCAGCCGCGGUAAUACGUAGGGGGCAAGCGUUAUCCGGAUUUACUGGGUGUAAAGGGAGCGUAGACGGCACUGCAAGUCCGGAGUGAAAGCCCAAGGCUUAACCAUGGGACUGCUCUGGAAACUGUACGGCUGGAGUGCAGGAGAGGUAAGUGGAAUUCCUAGUGUAGCGGUGAAAUGCGUAGAUAUUAGGAGGAACACCAGUGGCGAAGGCGGCUUACUGGACUGUAACUGACGUUGAGGCUCGAAAGCGUGGGGAGCAAACAGGAUUAGAUACCCUCGUAC